GAUGACUUCUACUUUCCCUUACCUGUCCCUGGCUGAUGAGGUUAUUAUUGACGUGGGAUGACUUCUACUUUCCCUUACCUGCCCCUGGCUGAUGAGGUUACGUGGGAUGACUUCUACUUUCCCUUACCUGUCCCUGGCUGAUGAGGUUACUAUUGACGUGGGAUGACUUCUACUUUCCCUUACCUGUCCCUGGCUGAUGAGGUUACUAUUGACGUGGGAUGACUUCUACUUUCCCUUACCUGCCCCUGGCUGAUGAGGUUAUUAUUGACGUGGGAUGACUUCUACUUUCCCUUACCUGCCCCUGGCUGAUGAGGUUACUAUUGACGUGGGAUGACUUCUACUUUCCCUUACCUGUCCCUGGCUGAUGAGGUUACUAUUGACGUGGGAUGACUUCUACUUUCCCUUACCUGCCCCUGGCUGAUGAGGUUAUUAUGGACGUGGGAUGACUUCUACUUUCCCUUACCUGCCCCUGGCUGAUGAGGUUACGUGGGAUGACUUCUACUUUCCCUUACCUGUCCCUGGCUGAUGAGGUUACGUGGGAUGACUUCUACUUUCCCUUACCUGUCCCUGGCUGAUGAGGUUAUUAUUGACAUGGGAUGACUUCUACUUUCCCUUACCUGCCCCUGGCUGAUGAGGCACUACGUUUGAUAGUAGGGGUGGUGUAGAACUUUAAGUGAGGAAAGAAGUGGAACAAAUGAUGACCAAUGCCAUCUCGGUAAGUCCAUGUGAGUUACUGCCUCCACUGCAAUUGGACAACAUUUACUCAUUGAUCGCUGAUUGGCUGACAUUAUUGCAACACCUAGUGAAGGAACAUUUUAUGUUUGUGCUUUUCUAAUAACCAAUUUGACUGGGUUCAUGCAAGUGACUGAUUGGUCGUGCCUGGGAGGAAUCUUCACUAUCAGUCUAAGCAAUUUGGCAGCACGCCCAGAACAAAGGGAUAUCUCAGUUUCAAGGUCUCAGCUUGGAAAGAAGAAGCCUCGUGAGGUAUUGGUCGGUCACAUGCAUGAACCAAACGUUAAUGAUGAAUUCAUUCUGAAUAAGCUAAAUCCGAGCCCCACAUUUUUACAGGCAGGGACUUGCCUGUUUUGCAUGUUAUUUUGGCAUUAAUACGUGUCACAUAUAGGUUUGCAAACAAUGUAAAAAAUAUAUAUAUCAUACACA
This is a long non-coding RNA of Oncorhynchus keta (chum salmon), 1161 nucleotides long. RefSeq lists it as uncharacterized. The transcript has 5 exons. The record is from RefSeq and is a predicted model, not a curated record. Lineage: Eukaryota; Metazoa; Chordata; Actinopteri; Salmoniformes; Salmonidae.